CUGUUCUGCAAGUCCUCCGUUAAAUCCACCUGCUCAACAGUUGGGCUGCGGGGGAUACUACAGCGCUAGGAGGCGGGAGAGGCAAGCGGUACUUAAUGGGUAGGGGUAAAAUCCACUGAUCCAUUGAAGACCACCAGUGGCGAAGGCGGCUUGCCAGAACGCGCUCGACGGUGAGGGAUGAAAGCUGGGGGAGCAAACCGGAUUAGAUACCCGGGUAGUCCCAGCUGUAAACGAUGCAGACUCGGUGAUGAGUUGGCUUUAUGCCAACUCAGUGCCGCAGGGAAGCCGUUAAGUUUGCCGCCUGGGGA
Molecule: ribosomal RNA, 308 nt
Filed under: uncultured archaeon
Lineage: Archaea
Description: bacterial SSU rRNA
Rfam family: Archaeal small subunit ribosomal RNA
Source: RNAcentral